This 2710-nucleotide long non-coding RNA is filed under the name Triticum aestivum (bread wheat). RNAcentral describes it as "long non-coding RNA (TAES_LNC019836)". Lineage: Eukaryota; Viridiplantae; Streptophyta; Magnoliopsida; Poales; Poaceae. The record is from RNAcentral.
GCAUGUGUUAUUUGUAAAAAUACAAAUUGAUUCAGCUAAUAAGUAGUCCCACCUCACUUUUUUACAUCCAAACUACUCAAUUUAUAUACGUUUAUGAGUUUCCUAGGUGUCAGGAAGCCGUCUCGGAAAUCAUUACAGAAAAACAAGGAAGGAAAGAGAGGCUAAUUAACAGGAAAGCGAGGCAACGAAAUAAGGAAGGAAUCCUGAGAGAUAUAUUCUCUAAUCUAAAUUGAGAAGGACAUGAGGUGACAAAGAUGAAAUAAGGAAGGAAAUUGGGAUCCUGAGGGAUGAUCCUGAGACAUAUUCUAAUCUAGAGUAAUAUAAGAAGGGACAAAGAACAACAAUGUCGGGUUUACACACCACGGGAAACAUUAUCUAGACGGCCUGCAAAGUAGAUUUACACACGCAAGCAAAAUAGAAAACAAGUUUUCGCAAGAAAGAACAAGCCAUGCUGACGAAUAAGCAAGUAGCAGGUGCAUUGCGCCAAAAUAGUUUAGGUGUAUACACGAUAAACAAUUGUUCGACACAUUUUCUUUUACCAUCAGAAUGAUGAAGAGAAAUGCAUUAUUGUGUUUUUACACAAACACAUUUAGGCAAUAAAUCCUGACGAAAAUAUUUACUUUGAUGCAGUUGCCAUAUCAUGUGACCAAAUGAGAAGUCCACUUGCCUUAUCUCAUUCGCUUCUUGAUUCCUGAAGAUAUCCACAUCAGAUUGCUAUUUCUAAAAGGUGUUUUAUCCUGAGAAAGAAGUAGAAUAUAUUAGUCGGUGGUACAAGGUAUACAACUGUUCAAAAAUAAUUUAUGGUAUAUAUACAACCGAGGGUUCGAGAUGAUGAUAAAAGUAUCAGGUACAAAAGUUAAAAAAAAUGUCACAUAACACAAUGAAGAUUAGGAGCUACCUAUAGAUAUAAUUUUCAAUAUCUAGAGAACCAUAGGAUUCUGAAUUUUGGCAUCGGUGGAUAGAAUUCCGCGCAAACUAUAACACUGUUUGUUCUUAAUAGCGGUAUCAAUCUGACUGUCAAACUGAACCGGAUUAGUCAAUGAUCCACUGAGCAGGAGUUUACCCAGUUUCAAAAAACAUAAAAUUUCUAUGCUCCAGUUUUAAUGUGAAAAGGGUACACAUGUUAGCACACUUCAUUCAUCCAAAUACAUUCAACAUCUACCGAAUUGCAAUUGCAUGAGAAAUUCAGGUUUUAAUCUUAUGCAUAGAACCUCAUGUAGCCUGAAUGGUACUCCAUCCGUUCCUAUAUAUAAGUCUUUGUAGAGAUUUCACUAUGGACCACAUACGGAUGUAUGUAGAUGCAUUUUAGAGUAUAGGUUCACUCAUUUUACUCCAUAUGUGGUCCAUAGUGAAAUCUCUCCAAAGACUUACAUUUAGAAACGGAGGGAGUACACUUCAGAUGCAUUCAACAUCAAAUGAAGUGUACUAAAUGGAUCUGGAUGUACCCUUCAGUUUUAAUUCGGUUGUUGUUAUUCAUAUUCAAACUGAUGCAUACAAGCUCAUAUAGCCUGAAAUUGUCAGCACGUAAUAUUUCAAAUAAAGUGUACCCUUCAGUUUUAAUCCAAAUAAACAUCCAGAUCCCGAACUCUGAAUAAAAAUGCAUAGAAGCUAAUGUAGGAAUUGUCAGCACGCAAUUCCCCAAUUCCUUCAUCCAGACCAUUCAACAUAAACCGAAUUCAGGAACACAUAUUAUAUACAUUCUGAACGAACACCACAAAAAUCAAAGAAAUUACAAACCACACAGUAAUCGAGAACCCACCAUAUCAUGGAAGCUCACCGGUGGUAGACUGCUUUGUAUCCUCACUGCAACAACUCGUGCGUCAUACGGACGGAGGUGGACCUACGGCAGGAUGCGGGUGAGAAGACCGGGGAGAUGAGAUGACGAGCAGGAGAGUCAUCAGCGGCACAGCGCAGCGCGGGCGCCGGGAGCAGCAAGCAACAAAGGCAAGCAGCAGCGGCAAGCAAAGCAACCACCAGCAGCAAGCGGCAACAACAGCAAGCAGCAAAGCAAGCCAGCAACGAACAGCAGCAGCAAGCAGGCAGAAGCGGGCAGAGGCGACUCCUCACCUUACUGUUCGUUGCGGCCGAGUCGGACAGAUCAGGGAGGCGAGAGGACGGACAACAGCGAGUUUCGGACGGCGUCAAUGGCGGUCAGCGGUCGGGAAGCUGUAGGAGGGACCCGUGGCUUCGAGUCCGUGGUCCAGACGUGGACCCCUUCAUGGUCCCUGUAGCUGCUCGGGGAGGACGAUGACCGCGGCGGGGUCGCAACGGCGGCCGACGGAACCAAGAAAGGUGGCCUUGGUUCAAGAGGUUCCUGCACGCCGGCGGCCGGAAUCACCAUUAAAGGGACGGCAGGAGCAACAAUGGAGCUAAGGAAAUACACAGGAGCAUGAACGCACCGGAGAAACGAGGUGAUUCACGGCGGCGUCUAGCGGGCAUGCAUGUCGGAGCCGGAGGCGUGGACGUCGAUCCGGACCGACGGCUGGCGGAUCCUGCCGGCCCCUGCAGCUGGCGUUGCAACGGCGAGCGGCGGCAUCCCCGGCGAGCUUGACGAGAAAGGGGAUCCAGGGAGGGAGAAAAGGAGUGAGGAGUGAGGUAAUGGAGUGGAGGAGGAGAAAGAUGAAGGGACAACCGGGCAGGAGGCGGCGUGUGUCCCUUGGAGAUGACGCUGAUGGACUGACCUAGGAGACCCACUGGUCAGUGGCAAAGG